AACGUUUCAAAUAAUAAAUUCUCGAUUACUUUUGAAGUUGAAAGUAUAACUUGUCUGGUUCGAGGACUUAUAGUUAGAUGCCUCGAUUACUUUUAAAGUUAAAAGUAUAACUUUUCGGGUCUGAGGACUUAUAGUCAGGUGCCUCAUUCACUUUUAAUGAUAAAGUGUAACACUCGGGUGCCUCGUCACUUGAGUCGUCCAAUUUCUUGGCAAGUGCAGAUGACCUUGUUGUCCUUUCUUUCAGAAUAUCCGAGCCAAGGACCUUGUUAAGGUGAAAUGGCUCGGAAUAAAUUCUUCCUCCUUGUGGUGUUGUCCUUUCUUUCAGAAUAUUCGAGCCAAGGACCUUGUUAAGGUGAAAUGGCUUGGAAUAAAUCCUUCCUCUUUGCGGUGUUGCCUUCUCUUUGAGACUAUCCGAGCCAAGAUUCCUGUUAAGGUGAAAUGACACGGAAUAGAUGUUUCCUCGUUGCGGUGUUGUGGUCCGAAAAAAAAAAAAUACUACAAUCACUUGAAAAAAAAAAAACAGUCACGAAUAAUUACACAAACAGAAAACCAUUUAUAUUCCCACCAUUUCGUACUGGUAGAAAGGAAAGAUAGUUAAUUGAAUUUGUGCUUAGUGAAUUUAAAGAGUACCCAGAGAUCCAUAGAACUGAACAAAAUUUAGAUGAUGCUGAAGACAUUGAUGACCCUGAGGAGCAUGAAAUUGAAGAUGUUUCUGUACAAUACAUACAUGAUGAUUUUGGGGAGUAUGAAAGUGAAGAUGACUUUGAUGCGAUGGAAGAUCUUAAGGAAAAAGUUAAUGGAAGUGUACCUGGUCAUGGAAUUGAAGUUGAGUCCGAGCGAUGUUUAGAUCAGUUGAUUGGAAACGGGCACCAUAUAAAAAGUCAGACAUGCAGAAAACUUCUUUCUCCUGAGCUAGAAUUAUCUCUAAAUCUCCAACCUUCCCAACUUCAGGAUUUGAAAGAUCACAAGGAUCUGCGCAUGGGUGAAACAACUUUUUAUGCACGUUGGAAGCAUACAAGAAUCAUUUUCGGUUGCUACAGUCAUUGUUCAACAUGAUUUGUUUUGGAACAACCAUGUUCGGUCCUCUGAUUACGCUAGGCAAGUGAUUAUCCGGAUAUCUAUACAAAUUAUACAAGUGAUAUAUAUAUUGGGAAGAUUUGAUCUUGUUUUUAAAAUAAAAU
RNAcentral lists this long non-coding RNA (1181 nucleotides) under Panax ginseng (ginseng). Its description in RNAcentral is "long non-coding RNA (PGIN_LNC012743)". The record is from RNAcentral. Lineage: Eukaryota; Viridiplantae; Streptophyta; Magnoliopsida; Apiales; Araliaceae.